UUGACAAUGCUAGGAUGUGAUGGGGAAGCCCUUCGGGGCGAAGUAGCUGAUUUCACACUGUCAAGAAAAGCUUCUAUCGAGUUUAAAGGCGCCCGUACCGUAAACCGACACAGGUGGGUGAGGAGAGUAUCCUAAGGCCAGCGAGAGAACUAUUGUUAAGGAACUCGGCAAAAUGACCCCGUAACUUAGGGAGAAGGGGUGCCUGUCUAUGACAGGCCGCAGAGAAUAGGCCCAAGCGACUGUUUACCAAAAACACAGGUUUCUGCUAAGUCGCAAGACGAUGUAUAGGAGCUGACGCCUGCCCGGUGCUGGAAGGUUAAGGGGAUCUGUUAGAGCAAUCGAAGCAGUGAACUUAAGCCCCAGUAAACGGCGGCCGUAACAAUAACGGUCCUAAGGUAGCGAAAUUCCUUGUCGGGUAAGUUCCGACCCGCACGAAAGGCGUAACGAUUUGGGCACUGUCUCAACAAUAGACUCGGUGAAAUUGUAAUCCCGGUGAAGAUGCCGGGUACCUGCGACAGGACGGAAAGACCCCAUGGAGCUUUACUGUAGCUUGACGUUGGGUCUUGGUACUACAUGUACAGGAUAGGUGGGAGACUAUGAAGCAUGGACGCCAGUCUGUGUGGAGUCAUCCUUGAGAUACCACCCUUGUAGUACUGGGAUCCUAACCAUAGGCCUUGAAUCAGGUCUUGGAACACCGUCAGGUGGGCAGUUUGACUGGGGCGGUCGCCUCCUAAAAAGUAACGGAGGCGCUCAAAGGUUUCCUCAGCACGGUCGGAAAUCGUGCGAAGAGUGUAAAGGUAAAAGGAAGCUUGAUUGCAAGACAUACAGGUCGAGCAAGGACGAAAGUCGGACUUAGUGAUCCGGUGGUACCGCAUGGAAGGGCCAUCGCUCAACGGAUAAAAGCUACCCUGGGGAUAACAGGCUUAUCUCCCCCAAGAGUCCACAUCGACGGGGAGGUUUGGCACCUCGAUGUCGGCUCAUCACAUCCUGGGGCUGUAGUAGGUCCCAAGGGUUGGGCUGUUCGCCCAUUAAAGUGGUACGCGAGCUGGGUUCAGAACGUCGUGAGACAGUUCGGUCCCUAUCCGUCGCAGGCGUAGGAAAUUUGAGAAGACCUGUCCUUAGUACGAGAGGACCGGGAUGGACGUACCUCUGGUGUACCAGUUGUUCUGCCAAGGGCAUGGCUGGGUAGCUAUGUACGGAAUGGAUAAGCGCUGAAAGCAUCUAAGCGCGAAGCCAACUUCAAGAUAAGAUUUCCCACCGUAAGGGUAAGACCCCAGGAAGACUACCUGGUUGAUAGGUCGAAGGUGUAAGUGCAGUAAUGUAUUUAGCUUAUCGAUACUAAUAGGUCGAGGACUUGAUCAA
This 1362-nucleotide ribosomal RNA is filed under the name metagenome. RNAcentral describes it as "bacterial LSU rRNA". It matches the Rfam family "Bacterial large subunit ribosomal RNA", at positions 1547 to 2925 of the family's 2925-position model. The record is from RNAcentral.